AGAGUUUGAUCCCUGGCUCAGAACGAACGCUGGCGGCAGGCUUAACACAUGCAAGUCGAGCGGUAACAGGGGGAGCUUGCUCCCCGCUGACGAGCGGCGGACGGGUGAGUAAUGCAUAGGAAACUGCCCAGUAGUGGGGGAUAGCCCGGGGAAACCCGGAUUAAUACCGCAUACGCCCUUCGGGGGAAAGCAGGGGAUCUUCGGACCUUGCGCUAUUGGAUGUGCCUAUGUCGGAUUAGCUAGUUGGUGGGGUAAGAGCCUACCAAGGCGACGAUCCGUAGCUGGUCUGAGAGGAUGAUCAGCCACAUCGGGACUGAGACACGGCCCGAACUCCUACGGGAGGCAGCAGUGGGGAAUAUUGGACAAUGGGGGCAACCCUGAUCCAGCCAUGCCGCGUGUGUGAAGAAGGCUUUCGGGUUGUAAAGCACUUUCAGUGAGGAGGAAAACCUUACGACUAAUACUCGUGAGGCUUGACGUUACUCACAGAAGAAGCACCGGCUAACUCCGUGCCAGCAGCCGCGGUAAUUC
RNAcentral lists this ribosomal RNA (528 nucleotides) under uncultured bacterium. Its description in RNAcentral is "bacterial SSU rRNA". It matches the Rfam family "Bacterial small subunit ribosomal RNA", at positions 8 to 526 of the family's 1533-position model. The record is from RNAcentral.